This 15914-nucleotide long non-coding RNA is filed under the name Nicotiana benthamiana. RNAcentral describes it as "long non-coding RNA (NBEN_LNC017748)". The record is from RNAcentral. Lineage: Eukaryota; Viridiplantae; Streptophyta; Magnoliopsida; Solanales; Solanaceae.
GCUAGAUGAUCAAAUGUUUACACAACUCAAUAGGCCGAUUGAGUACACAUAGAGAUCUACUAGAACUCUAUAUUAUAAUAUCAACACAAGCUAAGCCAAACUAAUUUCUACACACAUGAAUUACAUCUAAUUAAUCUGAUAUUGUACUACUUAACAAUCCAGUCUAGAAUUAUUACAGAGUUUAAUUACAAUAAACAAGCAAAUGUGGCAGGGCAAUUAAAAUCACAAAGCCACAGUGGGAAGUUAUCCUUAAUUUCAUUUCAUAUCUCAACAGAUGAAGCUACAUCAAUGGAGUCUCGAGAUGUGUACCUGAAUGUCGAAAUACAAGAAGAAUAAGAAGAAGAUCAGCUAUAAUAGCAGAUUCCAGCAGAAUAAUUUGCAAACAGCAGGAAACACAGCAAGUUCAGCCCAAAAACGAGUUCAACAGGCGAAGGAUAAUUCCAAACCAAACUGAAGCCAACAAAAUAGUCGAAAUCAACUUGAACAAAACCCAAGUGAUUUCGAAUUCAAACCCAUAAAUACCUCUAAAACCCCAACAACUAAAAUAAACCAGAAUAGCUUGAAUAAAUUCAAAAAACAGCUUGAAACUGAACUCAAUGUCACCAAGAACUCAGAUUCUUAAUUGACAGUGCAGAAAUUUCAAUGUAAUAGUGUAUUUUUGGAGUUUUUUGUAUUGUUUCUAUUUAUUUUUUAAGUUUUUGAAGAUUUGGAGUUUUGAAAUUCAAAUUUCAGUUGGAAAGACUUAGAGAAUAUCUAGAGGAAUUUUCAGAUCUAUGUGCUUGUAGGGAGUUUCGGGGAGGAAAUUUUGGGCUCCAAAAACUUGUUCAUUAAGGCAUUGGUGAUGCCCUUUUAUAGGCAAAUAUGAGGGCAACCCUCAAUUUCCUGUUUACAAAUCAGUCCCUUAUUUAUUUUCACAAUAGUCCUCUACUUAUUGACUUGAAAUUGCACCUAUUUUCUGAAUUUAGAGUAAAGUCCUAUUUUAGAAGGUUCCAGUGAAUUCAGAACAAUUUUAAAAGAUUCCCUUAUCCCCGAAUUUCCCCAAUUAUCCCUAUUUUAUCCUAAGAUUUACUAAAGUAAUCCAAAUGAAUUUAGCCUCAUUUUACCCUAGUUAAACAUAUCCACUAUAGGCAAUUUUAUCUGAUUAACAACUUAAUUGCACUGAGUAUUACUGAUUGUCCUAACUAACUAAACCGAAUUAGCUACAAUCAAUUGAUAACAACCAAAGAGGUACUAAGAUCAUAUUAAAGUUUAAGCAAAUUCAAACAAGAUUGACUAAAACAGAUCAAACAAGAAAAAUAAUCUAGUAUUCAAACUAUUAGAUUCCCAAAUCUACAAACGACUCUAACCUACAAAUUGCAUCAGAACAGAAUCACAACAAGACAUUUGAUAAAAGAAGGACUAAGCAGAGGUAGAAAUACUAAUCGUUUUGUUAAACCAUAUAUCUGUUGCGACCAAAGCACUCACGCAAGUGUACACGAUCGACAACUAAUAUAGUAGUAAGUAAUGUAUCGUUUCCACGAGGAAUUGUGAUAAAAUUCUCGACUGAUGUAGACUCAAUUAAUUAUCAAUUCAAGCUAAAUUAUCACAAGAUAUUUAAAAAUCCAAUUUACAACUUACUUAAUAAUUGCACAAUAAUUCAACACGAAAGUACUACACCAAGUUCACAAUAUGUUUAUAACAAUUUUUAUAAAGAUAUUCCAGGGUCAUGUAUUUGUUAGAGAUCAUGCUACUAUCUUAGCUUAAAAUUAAUUUAUUGAAUUAUCGGGGUUAUUGAUUAUAGGGUUAAUAAUAUUCAUAGGAAUCUUUCGAGUUCUUAUGCGUCUAUUCAAAUUAAAUUAAUACCUAUAUGUCUAUGGUAUUAAUAUUAACAAGAAUGCAUGUACAACUCCUAUUUUUCAACCAAACAAGGCAAUUAAGUAUAUGUCUAUCUUAAUCGCAAAUCCUUCACUCGAUGCCCAGGAUUCAUAUAACCAGGCAUCCACCGUGAACUUAUAAAUUGUACCCCUAACAAGGCAUCUAGUCUGUCGUUAUGCUUCUUUGGUGGGGAUACAAAGAUAUCCAGGCCAAGUAAUAAAUUUUUCACUCGACACUUCUCAGCGUUUGGAUUAGGAAUAUAAUUUUUGCUUUUUGGAACAACAAAUUCAAGAAUAUAGAUACUUUCAUCCUCACUCUUUGACUUUUUCAUAGGCAGAGAUGGCUCGAUUACUAUCUUACUAUCUAAACACAAUGUGGAAAAAUGAUUGGAAUGAGGUCUAAUGCGCCAUAACUCAUGAAUUUUACUACUAUUUACAUCCCCAUUUAUACAAACACUCAAUUCUUCUAAAGUAAUGUUAUCUACUCCCUCACAUGACUCUAGAGCACUCUUCUUAAUAUGGACAUCCUAAAAAAAAUAUGAUCUAAUGAUUGGUAUUCUUGUUUUAGCUCCUCUAUUUGGUCUAGAAGAUUUUUUCCAGCAUCAUACAACCCAUCAUUAAAUUGUUGGGCAUUACACGCAUCAACCUUUGCACUCAAAUCUGAAUCCAAGUUAUGCACAACCAAGUCAAAAUAUCAUUUUUUUGUGCAAGCUCAUCUCUCUCCUUAGACCAAUCUUUCAUCAUCGUUGUUAGUAAAGUACCACUUUUAUGUGCAAUUUCAUCUCUUUUCUUAGACCAAUCAUUCACCAACGUUGUCAGAAGACAACGUCGUUCCGCAUGUUGGCCUAAUCGAGAAUAUGCAUCCCAAUACCAACCCUUACUCCCAUAUUCAAAUUCAUACCUCCCAGAGUCAAAGUCAUGACAAGCCCAAAAUGACGGACCAUAAAAGACUUCCGUCAAUUAAUUAUCAAUUCAAGCUAAAUUAUCACAAGAUAUUUAAAAAUCCAAUUUACAACUUACUUAAUAAUUACACAAUAAUUCAACACGAAAUUACUACACCAAGUUCACAAUAUGUUUAUAACAAUUUUUAUAAAGAUAUUUCAGGUUCAUGGAUUAUAUAGAGAUCAUGAUACUAUUUUAGCUUAAAAUUGAUUUAUUGAAUUAUCGAGGUUAUUGAUUAUAGGGUUAAUAAUAUUCAUAAGAAUCUUUCGAGUUCUUAUGCGUCUAUUCAAGUUAAAUCAAUACCUAUAUGUCUAUGGUAUUAAUAUUAGCAAGAAUUCAUGUACAACUCCUAUUUUUCAAUCAAACAAGGCAAUUAAGUAUAUGUCUAUCUUAAUCGCAAAUCCUUCACCUGAUGCCCAGGAUUCAGAUCUUGUUCUAUCUGAUUCUAUAUGCAAUCAAGAAUUUCCUUUGUCAAGUUUAACUCAAUAUUCGUAAAUAGUAUUUUAUUUUUAGCUACGCAGUAAAAUAAUUAAAAGUAGAAUAAAAUAAACAACCCAUAUCGAUAUAUUCAAGAUCUUCAAUCUAAGCUUCAAAUAACAUGAUCAUCUAACACCUAUGACCCCAGAAUAUUUAAGUUUUAGCUAUUCAUGUUCAUACAAAAAUCAAAAAGAAAUAUCUGAAACAUAAUAUAAGUAAAUACUAGAAGAAAGUUGACAAGAACUCUUUGAAUCCUUGCUCCAAGUUGAUGUUCUUCUUGAUUUUUUUCUCUCCAAGAUGAGUCUUCGCCUUCUAUUUCUCUCUAAAAUCAGAUCUGGUCUCAUUAAUGGAGCUUUACUUUAUAUAAGUUGAGUGUAUCCCUCAGAUUUCCCAUUUUUCCCCCAAAUAAUUGAUUUUCGGGACUCUCUCUGUCUUGGCCGCGCAUCUGACUAGCACGGCCGUGCUAGUCCAGUGAUUAUGACCGCGCUAGUCAGAAUUUGGUAAAAUUCAAAACACCAAAGUUUUAGCCCUUUUAAAUAGCUUUGCAUCAAUACAUUAUGGAGCCCAAACGGAGUUUUGAGUAAAUAGCUAUGGCCAUUUUACUCAACUUGGUUCCAACUUGAUUUAUUUAGCUUUUACUCAGACUUCAAAGCCUCAAAUUACUCAAAUUCAUCCCGAAUUAAUUCUUAAGUUGGAUACUCUUUCUGCAAGGCAUAAAUCCUGAGUUUAGUACAAUUCAUAAUUAUUUAGCUCAAACAUUUAUAAAAUAUAGUAAUUAAAGUGUUGUUACAACGUUUCAUUUCGAAUUAAUUCUUAAGUUGGAAACUCUUCCUGCAAGGCAUACAUCAUGAAUUUAGUACAAUUCAUAAUCAUUUAAGCUCAAACAUUUAUAAAAUAUAGUAACUAAAGUAUUGUUACAACGACUAAAACACGAGUUUUUAGCCUAUGAUCAGUAUCAGAACAGAAUCACAACAAGAGACAUUUGAUAAAAGAAGGACUAAGCAAAGGCAGAAAUACUAAUAAUUUUAUUAAACCAUACUAAUCAAACUAUAUGACUGAACAUGCAACAAUUAAAACCUAAAAUCUAUAUUGACCCAAAUAGACCCAGAUGAACACAAACUAAUCCUCAAUGAAUGGCUCUCAAAAUCAAUAUGAAAUCUUAACUCAAACUUACGCAUGAAGGAAGAGAAGGAAAUGAACAGAAUAAAGAACUCACCAAUAAACUCGACCUCACAUCUUCAAGCUCGGACACGGCCUAAGCAACUACUCGACUUAAGGUCCUCCUGUCCCUAGAUUUAAGGCCCGUGGGAUUCUGCAUGGAUUUGAGGGAUUCCAAUCUUUAAAUUCGUUACGAGGAGGUUUGAGAGGGCUCGAAGUGUGAAUUUUGAACCCUUUUGAAGACUUCAAGCUUUUCAGCAGUUUGACCGUAUUUUCGAUCUGGUAUUUGAGAUGUUUGGUUCUGAUUCGAAGAAUAUUAAGGGUGGAUUUGGGGAGAGCAGAAGGAGGGGGCAUGGUGAUGUAAAUUAUGGGCCGUUUGGGCGGUGUCGCCGUUGUGGGUGGAGGAGACGGCGACAACUAAUUCGACCAUUCGAAGGUCUGUGGUGGGAUUCGAAGGGAGGUGAUGGCAGAUUCGUGAAGAGGAUGUCAAAGCGGUAUAGGGGUGUGAUUUUGGGGGUCAAUGGCGAAGGUGGUGUCUUCGUCGGCGGCGGAACAUGGUGGUGGCUAGAAAUAGAGAAAGGGGUACGAUGAAGAAGACUUGGUCGUUUAGGGAUAAGAGGGGAUUCAGACAUUUUUAUGAAAGAUGGGGGAAGAAUUCUGGGCUGUUGGAUUAAAAAUAUUUAACAUCUCAGAUGGGCGGGUAGCAAAACAAUGUCAUGUUGUUUUGAGGGUGGACUGGACCGUGUGAGGAGUGUUGGGCCUGGGCGUGUGUGUAUGGAUAUGGGCACUAAUUAUUGGGCCAUCAGAAUUGAAUAGGCAAUGGCCUAACUCGUGGGUCUUUUAACAAGGCAAUCUUUUCCCUUUUAUUUUAUCUCUUUUUUUCUUUAUUUUUGUAUUUAUAUUACUUUUAGCUUUUGUUAAAAUGAAAACAAAUAAAAUCAAUGGGUCUUUUAACAAGGCAAACAUUUCCCAUUUAUUUUAUCUCUUUUUUUCCUUUCUUUUUGUAUUUAUAUUAUUUUAGUUUUUAUUAAAAUUACAACAAAUAAAACCAAAGACCCAAUUGACUCUAAUAUGAUAUUUAAUUUUCAAAAUCAUCUAAUUUCUAAUUUUAAACUAAAAUUAAUAUAAAUUCCAUAAAUUAAAAUAAAAAUGCAAAGAAUUAUUUUUGUCAUUUUCUUUGUACGUAAAUAAUUUUACUACUAAUCAAAUACUAAAAAUGUGAAAUUAACUCCCAAACAAAUGCCAAAUAUAUUUUUGUAUUUUCAUAUGAAUUAAAAUACACAAAUAAAAAUGCAACAAUUACUAGAAAAUAACCCAAAAAUUGUAAAACAAUAAAGAAAUUGUUUUUCUUUUUGAAUUUUUGGGAAUUAUUUCAUAUAUAGGGCAAAAAUCUUGUGCUCACAGCUGCCCCUAUUUGCUCAGAAAUACGAAAAGUUUUUGUGCAAAGAUAAAUGACCAGAAACGAGCGAUUUUUGCCCGUCCGAAUAUUCCUUGUGAAGCAUUUUUGAAAGAGUUGACCGCACCCUGCUUCGGAGGUUGUCUACAUAUCCUGGGCUAAACAGGAAUCAGGUCAGUGUAGUUCGGGAGUGUCCGGUAGCUGGGACUACCAGGAGCUGUGAUUUCGCUGCGAUUUCACUGUGAUUGUUGCUGCUACUGCUCGCUCUCCUUCCUUAUUACACCAUGGAAAAAUAAAAGAAGCUAGACUAAGCUGUGAACUGUAAAUUACUAGAUCAUGUCUAAAUUCUUCAAACUUGUUCUUAUACUUCCUUGUUGUCUUAUAUUCUCUUCGUGAAGUCCAUUGUUGUUACUUCAACUUGUAAACUGAGAUGUUGUUCCUUGUCUUUAAAUUGCUGAACUUGAAUAAACUUGAACUUGAAUGUAUUCCUCUGUUAUAUGGGCGGGCUCCCAACUUCACAAAAAUAGACAAAACAAAAUUUUCUGCCCCAUGGAAAACUGGGUGGUUAUUACCAUAUACUAAUAAGAACUGAAAACUAAAACUUGAAUUGUGAUAAGGCUGAAGUGUAACUUUAAAAUUUAAAGACUGAAAUGUAUUCUCUUUUUAUAUAGGUGGGUUCCCAAUGUCAAAACUUAAAAUUUAAAGAAUGAAAUUUAUUCCCUUGUUAUAUGGGCGGGCUCCCAACUAUAAAACUUAAAAUUUAAAGACUGAAAUGUAUUCCCUUGGUAUAUGGGCGGGCUCCCAACUUUAAAACUUAAAAUUUAAAGACUGAAAUGUAUUUUGAACUUCAACUAAACCACAUUCCUCAGAAGUUUACGGUCAAACCUGUUUUGGCGCUUGCUUUUUCCAUGCGGGGAGUUUCCCGAAAUAGAUGAAAUUUCUGCCCUUGUUUCAAUCAAGAAAAAUCUUGUUAGUUUAAAGUAGUGGUUGGUUUGUGGCCUUGAACUUUGCGGUGAUUUUUGCUUCACUUUCCAUGAAGCUUGGUUUCCACUCGAAGACCUUGCUUGUUUAUGAACCAACCCCUUUUCUGUCGCCCUCAUCACAUAAAGUGCACAUGGCAUUGGCGUGAACUGGCCUCUCCCAAACCUUUGCCUUUCACAUGAAUCCCACAGCAGGUCCAUUGCCCCUACUCCGUGUAUACGUUGUUCUUCCUUGACUUAACUGAUGGCCUUGGCCUUGAGGUUCGUUGCUCCUUUACUUGUCAUGAUGACUUUCAUUUCCUUUCGAAGACCCCGCUUGUUUCUUUCCUAACCACUUCGGGUGUCAUCCUUAGCACAGAACACACCUCAUCUUCAUUCAAAACCCUAUCCCUAUACCUUCUGUUUGUUGCACUGCUUAGAAUUUAACCAACCUUGUUCCUCACGUGAACCCCAAAGCAUAUUGAUUACCACCCACAGUAUGUCAUUCUUCUACAUUGAACCCCUGGGCCCCUCGACCUUGAGGUGUAUUGCUCCUUCGCUUUCCAUGACAUCUUUGAUCUCACCUCAAAAGACAUUGCUUGCGUAUUGACUAACAACCUUCUAUGUCAUCUUUGCCCUAGAAAAUACCUCUUCUCCAUUCAAAUCCAAUACCCUCUAUCCGUUGCAUUUCUUAUGAACCGACAUCUACCACCCUUUGUGCUUCACCAGGAUCCCCAAAUCAUGUUGAUUAUUACCAGUCCAGUGCUAUUGUUGUUUUUCUUGACUUGUGCCACUUGAUAUGCUAGCCAAACCCCCAGUUUAUGCAAUUGGAAAGAUAGUGGCAAAUUUUAAAAUCAUUUCUCACUUUUUAUAAUCAAACAGACUCAGAAAGAGGAAGUGAAUAAAAAUAGAUGAACGGAGUGAAGGACAAAGGAAAGAGAUGAUUCCUAAAGAGAAAACUACGAAGUAGAAACCUAUAAAAGGUGGCUACCGACUCAAAUGACCAUGACAUGCAUCUGUAUAUAUUUUUUCAAUCAAUCCCGACGUUCAACUCUUGUUGUACCUUUCACUGUGAAACUGGACUUAAAUGCUCCGCUUAUCCAAUUUGAUUCGCUUUUCUUAUUCGACUUGUGGCGCCCAAAGGGUUUUCACUAUCAAGCCUCUCUCAUUUUGUUUUUUCUCUCAAUUUACUGUCGCCUCAAGGUGCCCGUGAAGGUCUUCACCAAUAAGACUCUCUCAUUUUUCUUUUCUCUCCACUUUCAUCGCCUUGCGGUACCCGUGAGGGUUUUCAUCAAUCUGGCUCUCUCAUUUUCAUUUUCCUUGUUUGGAUCAGAGUGUUGCCCCAGACAUAAAUUACCUUUACCUGCUUGACUUGGCAUUUCUCAAAGUCUGAUCAAAACGUCUUUCUUUGGACCGUAAUGUGGCUUUUGGACAGGGUUAAAAAAGGUAUGAAGGCUCAAAAACAAAUUAAAAAUGGGUUAAAAUUAAAACUUUCAGAAUCCAAUUUCUCAAAACAGCCACAAUUUCUGCCCUAGUGUUUUGCUUAGGGAUUUUUGGAUUUUUAUUUUGGCAUGACUGAACCUCAGAGAGGCUGCCUAUAUACCCUUCCGAGAUCAAGUCAAACGUAGUUCACGUCAUAAAAAUUACUUUUGUUGUGAUUUUCUUUCUCUUAUCUUCUUUUCUUCUAUCCUUUUUCAUUUUUCAUUUAUUUUCUUUUUCUUUCUUCUCUUUCUUUCUUUUCUUUUUUUGCUUUUCCUUUUUCUUCCUUUCUUCCUCCUUUUUCUCCUUUUUCUGUUUCUUCUUCUGUUUCCUUUCGUUCCUUUUCUUUUUUCUCUCUUUUUCCAUUUGUUUAUGUUCGUCACUUGUGUUUCUUUGAUUGUGUCGUUGAUUCCGAAAGAGGGGUAUGAAAGAAAACAAAUAAGGCUCAAAGAGGGUGAUAAAAAGGUAAAGUGUUUAGAUAGCAGAACAAAAUACCUUCGUCAUCUCAAACUUCAAAAUAUGCCAAAUACAAACAAGUGCAAUCAGAAUAAAGAAACCAUACACAUCAUCUCUUGACCGUAUCGGAAUUGACGGCCAUUUCCACACAAUUUUUUCUACAUCCGUCAAAUAUAAUGUGCCAUUAGGCAACACUCUUACUCUUAUUAGCACGACCGGCCCCCUGUAAAUUUGGCCAACUUGCUUUUACGGGGAUUGUUUAUGUUCUAUUUGACCCAGUUUCACAUGGUUAGGGCGCCAAACAAUCUCAAAACGUCCAAAUCUAUUCUUAUUUCCUCAAAUGCUCUCAUCGUCUUCAAAAUGGUUUCAUUACUUCCCGACAAAUGUAGCUUUUAAAGAUCAGACUGAGAAGUAUGCAUGCAUGUCAUGUCACUAGAACCAGCAAAAGACAAAACGAUAAGAUAGAAAAGAACUAAAGAAAGAGAAAUUAUUGGAAGUGACAAAAGAUCGUAAUUUGCAUUAGACAAACGAUGAGAUAGUUCGAAUAACAAAACAAACAAAACAAACUAGUGUAGAACCCUAGAAUGAACUGAAACAAACAUGGACAACACUAAACAAAUCACAACAACAAAAUAAGCUAGACAAAAAUGAAAGGAUAAGAGGGUUUGAUCACAAGAUAAUAUGCGGAUUACUACCCUGCAAAUAACCCGGACAACAGAAAUGACAACAAAAUGGACCACCAAAGCUCCUCCCCGGCUGACCUAGGAAUGGAGCGUCUUUCCAAUCACCAACAUUAGGAACUUUACAAACUUUCAUUACAUCAUCCUCAACAAGUUAUUUUUGGGUCUAUGAGGCUCUCAAAGAAUUCUCAUAUUCCUUUUCAAAACAAAUCAUGCCCACCAUGUCUACCUCAUUAUGCGCAUGCGAUGGAUUUUUUCCUGGUGUCCGGUGCAUCCAGAUUUUGUACGAUGAUGUUACCUGCGUUAAUAAGCUCUUGAACUUCUUUCUUCAGCUUCCAGCACUUUUCCAUGUCAUGCCCCGGAGCAUCUAAGCAAUAUGCACACUUUAGAGAAACAUCACAUUUUAAAGGGUUUGGCAUUUUUAUUUGAAUCGGCUUUAGCAUGCCUACUUGCUUCAACUUCUGGAACAAACUGACAUAUGAUUCUCCAAUACGGGUGAAAGCCUUUUCUCAUUUCAGCAACCUCUCGUUCCUAAACGCCUGAUCUGGCCUAAAAUCUGACUUAGGGAGUUUCUGGUCUACUCGCGUGGGGUGGAUAGGCAUUUUGUGGAGCUGGGUACUUGGCAAGUGAAGUAUGUAUAUGGGAGUACCGUGGAGAGAAGUAACAUUGGGGAGCGCCAUCCAGUGCAUGAGGAUAUUCAUGGGGUACUAUGUCGAGGUUGGAAAUGUUGAUCAGGAGAGCCCUUUGGAUCAUCUUUUCUGUUUCUCUCUCCUUUCCGAGCUUAUCGCGAUGUCCUGAAUGUCUUUUGAGCAACUCAUGAUUUUUCCCGACUUGAUUCCCUUUUCCACUAGCUCCCCCAUUUUUAACACAUCAUCGAAAGGUCUGCCCACGGACGGGAUAAAAUGAUUGAAGUAGGUGGGCCCCUAGGCCUGUAUGAAAUUUUCAACCAUCUCUUCUUCAUCAAUCAGGGUAUUGAUUCGAGCAGCUUGCUCCCUCCAUCUGAGCCCAAACUCUCUAAUGCUUUCCCAUGGCUUCUUUUCCAUUCUAGAUAGGGAGGAAUGGCCCACGGAUGGUUCUUUCAGCUUCCUGAAUUCCCUGUUUGUCCCUUCUCUUUCUGUGAACCUUCCAUUUUCAAAACGAGGCUUAUCUUGUGGGCAUUGUUCGUCCAAGUUGGGACCCUUAUGAGUGACCUAGGAGGGGUAAUAUUGGGCAUCACGAGCUCUGGUUAAGUGUUCUUUGUCGAGCAUAGUGGAUGUGACCGGAAGGCACCUUUGGGAAAAGAUAGUUGGAUGAUGAGUGAUGAAGCUACUAGAGUGGUUCGGAAAACUGUUAUAAGCGGGUAGAGAUGGGAAUAUGGAGGAUCAUCCGACAUUGUGUUCGGUAUUUGUGUAAGGACAGAAUCCAGGAAGCUAGCGGUGGCGGGGGUGGUGCUUUCCAAACAUCCACGCCCGAUACAUGUCUCCCACAUGCUAUCUCAGCAUUUUCACCUCUUCCACCAACCCGUUGACCUAUUCAACCGGCUGUUUUUAGGCAUUGGUACCAACUCACUCAGUUCUGUUAUUCUCCGCCAUUGUCUUUCGCCUUUGUGCUGCAAAGGAGAGUUAUCUUAAAACGACAAACCAACCACCUUUCUGAAAUGACAUGCCGAAAUGAAACCAUCAUGUUAGCGUUAGGGCAUUUAACUCAUUGAUAAUCUCACAUUUGGGGAAUGCAUGCACCUAAGCAGUUGACAAUCCCUAUUAUGCAUUUGCUAUCGCAUGCAUCAUCCCGGCCUUUUCUCGUUUUUGAUUGCAAACUCUCCUAUUUUCCUUUCUCUCUUUUUCUUUCUUUCUUCUCUUGUUUUCUUUCUUUCUUCUCUCAUUUUCUCCAUUUAUUUCUUUCUUUUCUUGGUUGUCCAUUUUUUUCUUUCCACUUUUGGUUUUUGCCUUAUUUUCUUUCUUCUAUCUUUUCCUUGUCUUUCCGUUCUUUUUCUUUUUCUCUUUUUUAUUUGGUUAUGAUCGAAUUCUAUGUCGAUUGCCAACGUAUCAUGGCCCCGCAUGAAUCAGACCGAGCGUAGUUCUUGCAAAUAAAAGAUAAACAACAAUAAAAUAUUUUUGAAAUUUUUCGAUUAUCAUGAUAAAAACAAAACCUACAAACUUAACGAUGAAGUACAAACUCGAAAAUCAAACGACCCAUACACCCUAAUCAAAAUAAAUACAAACCCAAAACAAAAUGACAAAUUCCUUCCUCUGUAUGCCAAUUUUGAACAAAUGGUUAUUUUUGCAAACGUGACCCAUUCUUAAUUUCACAUGAAUUUUGAGGCCGAGGAGGACAAUUUUAACAUAUCACAAACUUGACUGUUCUUUUACGAAAACAACCUUUCGACAGCUGAAAGAUACUCUAAGGCUAUAUCGACAAGAACAGUUUUAAGACACUACCGAAGCUGGCUCGCCUUAUUUUGACUAAAAAUUCAAAUGGCAUUCACUGGCCCACUAGCACUUUUCUUGUUUUUUUAAAUUAAAAUAAAAGACCCGAUUUUGCAAACACGACCUUUCAGCACCUUGGGGACGAAGAUUUUAAGGUUGCAUUUAGCUAAUCGGCCAAAACCUUGAAAGAUGACCAAAGGUGGCUAUUCUCGCAAAUGCAACCUUCCGGUGCCCUUUUAGGGACAUUCGGCUAUUUCUGAUAAAAAUGGCUUCACCUUUCUAUUCAUGCCAAAAUUUAGAACUUAGAUAUUUUUUGGCUAUUUUUGCAAAGGCGAGGUUGGGCCCGAUGAAGGUUGCCUAUGUAUCUGACAUCCGGUGAGAACCAAACCUGCGUAGUUCGGACAAAUUAACCGAACUAUUUUAAAACUAAACUCUUUUCCUUUUAUCUUUUUCAUGGCAUGACAAACUAUUUUUCCUUUUCCAUUUUUUUGAAAACAAGACAAACUAAAGACUCUUUUUUUUUUCUUUUUCAUUUUCAACAAACAAUAAACAACCUAUUUUUCCCAAACUAAAAUAAAACUCUUUUUCCAUUUUCUCAAAGUUUCUGCAGAGUUUCGACAGUAUUUUGGCAUUGAUUCUUCUAAAACUAAGCAAUUAACUCUCUACACUGCUAUUUCUCUCUUUUUCUCUUUUUCUCAAUUUGACAGUAUUCUUGAUAUUCAAAAGUCAGUCAGCGUGCAGGUCCGAGACAAAUAAAUGCACGGAAAACAAGUAGGAUGCAUUAGGGUGAUCUUUUCAUUUCAGGUUGCUAGUCCUAGACGAACCCAACCCCUGUGUUGAGUCCCCUAAAUCAAUUGCAACAUGAUGCAAAUAAGCGUUCCUACUAGGGAUCCGGCAUGAAGUCACGUUAUUCUAGGUUCAAAACCUGGGUAUGUGUUAUAGAUUGUGUACCCGAGGGGACAACUCGAGUUGAGAAAGGGGCAACUUACCGAGAACCAAAAGGCCAUCCAGCUUCAUAACUUGUCUAGCCUCUUUCUUAUUACUGGAUAUGACACUAACAGAAUAGAGAGUCUUAACCAGUAAGCACAUCCCCGGAGGUGAGAAGAGAAGGGUGUCAAACAGUUUAUAAACAAUUCAGAUAAUAUCAAAGCGGUAACAUUUAGCGCAUUCAGCACAAAACAUGUAAGAAAAUCAGAUAUAACCAAAUACAAUAAUUUAUCUAAUCUCGAAUUCUGAACCCUGAAAAAACUAUUCUGGGUUCUUUUCCCCAGCAGAGUCGCCAGAGCUGUCAUACCUCAUUUUUACCACACCCUCAAGGGCGUAAAAGAGUUUUUCCAAUUAAAGGACAAUCGGAAAGGGAUUUAAUUAUUAAAGUUCAUAGUCGCCACUUGGGAGAUUAAUAGUGUCCCAAGUCACAGAGUAAAUCCCGAACCGAGGAAAAUUAUGACUCUGUUAACAGUACGCGAAUCAGAAAUCCGAGUAAGGAAUUAUAUUAACCCUGAAGAAGGUGUUAGGCAUUUCCGGAUUCCGUGGUUCUAGCAAGGUCCCUUAACUGUUGUAUUUGAUUUUAUCUAAUUUUUAAAACAUGUUCUAUCUUAUGCGCUUUUAGUUAUAAACUGCUUUUAUAUUUAUUUUUAAUGGGAAUUGCAACAUCGUAAAAAUACAUCUCGAACCACGUCACAUCAAUGCGUCCGUGGUUGUCGACACAUUUCGACUUUAUUGAGAUUUGGAUUUGGGUCGCAUCAAUACGCACCCAAAUUUAAGAAUGUAAUUUUAUUAAAAUCGUACUUAAAGAGUCUAACAUAUUAUGCUUUUGGGGAAGGUCGUGAAAUUCGCUAAACGGCUCUCCCGAAUUCUAAGUAUUUUUAGUAUAAAUAUUUAUUAAGGGCCCCAUAAUUUAUUUGUUUUGUUCGGCAAGACUUGUCUCAUUUUUAUUUUUUUAAGCAAAUCCUAAAGAGACUAUGAUUUUCUAUAUUCUUUGUCUGUAAUAAAAUCAAAAUCCAUAUUAAUGGACUGACGAGUGGUUUAUUAGCAAAAGUAACAAAUGGCCCUCAAUAUCAUCUCCUAGGAAAAAAAACUAUUUGGGCCCAAUGCAGGCACAAGGCAAGCCCAGACGGACGCCAGUGCCUCAACUCAACAUCGAACCCCCACAAAGGAGACACAAAUAUGCAAUUACGGGAAAUAUUCUAGGCAGCUAUGCCAUAUCGAGCUCAUAUAACUUAUAACAAGCCAUAAUCCUAAAUUAAUUGGGCAAUUUGAUGGUACUGCACCCUUAAACAAUUUACUAAUCAAUGCAAUGACUAAUCUUUGAUUUUAAAAACAUACUGCAAAAUAGGAAAUUAAAUUACGAAAUGGCUAAAAGUCCCAACAGUCAAAUUAAUAGUGCAUAUUAAGAUCAACUAACCAUUGGCCUACAAUUAUUAGCUUCAUUUCGAAAAGAAAAAUAAAUGCUAAACCAAACUGAUAUCGACUAUAUGAGAAGCUAUUGCUAGAUGAUCAACAGUUUGCACAACUCAAUAGGCCGAGUGAGUACACAUAGAGAUAUGCUAGAACUCUGCAUUAUAAUAUCAACACAAGCUAAGCCAAACUAAAUUGCUACACACAUGGAUUACAUCUAAUUAAUCUAACAUUAUACUACUUAACAAUCCAGUCCAGAAUUAUUACAGAGUUUAAUCACAAUAAACAAGCAAAUGUGGCAGGGCCAUUAAAAUCACAAAGCCACAGUGCCAAAUUAUCCUUAAUUUCAUUUCAUAUCUCAACAGAUGAAGCUACAUCAAUGGAGUCUCGAGAUGUGUACCUGAAUGUCGAAAUACAAGAAGAAUAAGAAGAAGAUCAGCUAUAAUAGCAGAUUCCAGCAGAAUAAUUUGCUAACAGCAGGAAACACAGCAAGUUCAACCCAGAAACGAGUUCAACAAUCGAAGGAUAAUUCCAAACCAAACAGAAGCCAACAAAACAGUCGCAAUUAGCUUGAACAAAACCCAAGUGACUUCGAAUUCAAACCCAGAAAUACCUCUGAAACCUCAUCAACUAAAACAAACCAAAAUAGCUUGAAUACAUUCAAAAAACAGCUUGAAAUUGAACUCAAGAUCAGCUAUAAUAGCAGAUUCCAGCGGAAUAAUUUGCUAACAGCAGGAAACACAGCAAGUUCAACCCAGAAACGAGUUCAACAAUCGAAGGAUAAUUCCAAACCAAACAGAAGCCAACAAAACAGUCGCAAUUAGCUUGAACAAAACCCAAGUGACUUCGAAUUCAAACCCAGAAAUACCUCUGAAACCUCAUCAACUAAAACAAACCAAAAUAGCUUGAAUACAUUCAAAAAACAGCUUGAAAUUGAACUCAAGGUCACCAAGAACUCAGAUUUUUAACUGACAGUGCAGAAAUUCCAAUGUAAUAGUGUAUUUUUGUAGUUUUUUUGUAUUGUUUCUAUUUUUUUUGGUUUCUGAAGAUUUGGAGUUUUGAAAUUCAAAUUUCAGCUGGGAAGACUUAGAGAAUACUCUAGAGGAAUUUUCAGAUCUGUGUGCUUGAAGGGAGUUUUGGGGAGGGAAUUUUGGGCUCCCAAAACUUGUUCAUUAAGGCAUUGGUGUUGCCCUUUUAUAGGCAAAGAUGAGGGCAACCCUCAAUUUUCUGUUUACAAAUCAGUCCCUUAUUUAUUUUCACAAUAGUCCUCUACUUAAUGACCUGCUUCUCAAGUAAGUGCACCUAUUUUCUGAAUUUAGAGUAAAAGUUAUAUUCUAGAAGGUUCUAGUGAAUUCCAAUCAGUUUUAAAAGAUUCCCUUAUCCCUGAAUUGCCCCACUUACUCCUACUUUAUUCAAAGAUUUACUAAACUAAUCCAAAUGAAUUCAGCCUCCUUUUACCCAAGUUAAGCCUAUCCACUGUAGCCAACUUCAUCAGAUUAACAACUAAGUGAACUGAGCAUUACCGAAUGUCCAAACUAACUAAACCGAAUGAUCUACAACCAAUUGAUAACAACCAAAAGGGGUACUAAGAUCAGAUUUAAGUUUAAAUAAAUUCAAACAAGAUUGACUAAAGCAGAACAAACAAGAAAAAUAAUCUAGUAUUCAAACUAUUAGAUUCCCAAAUCUACAAACGACUCUAACCUACGAAUUGC